GCAAUUCUGUCUGAAAAACACACACACACACUGAAAAUGGGUAUCGAUGCAUCCGGCAGCUGUGGCAACUUCCGGUCGACUUCAGAUUUCGAUUCGGGACAUUCAAUGAGCGCGACAGAUUAGCCGCUCGCCAACCACAAAAAGCCAGUGGGAAAGCCGGGAAAUGCGAGGAAAAGCAGGCAAAUUGGAGGCGGGCAUGGCAGAGAUGGCGGGAAAAAUGAGACCGACAAAAGCGACAGAGUCCGUAAUGAUGCGGAAGUGGACAAAAGGCAGCCGCAGUCUCACAAAAGCCAAAAGCUGUAGCUGCCAAUUCCACAGCCCAUUUGGAUGCCCAUGACUAUGGCAAAAGGCAUUCUAAAACUGCGGUCAAUUGAAAUGGCAAUCAAGUUAGCGAGCUCGUCCUUGUUCCUUGUCAAAAGGACACAUACCCAGACCAAGGAGCAACUGGAAUGGGACGACUGUCCUGCCGUUGGCUGACAUUCACACCACAGAAGAAAGCCAAAGUUCCCAGGCAAUAAUUACAUAGGACAUGUCCUACGAACUGAAAGUGAUCGGUGAUACAAAAGGGAUUGAUGAUUUAAUUUAUUUCGUAAUUGAUGCGUAUCAAAGUUAUUUUCUAAGAUAUUAUAUUUUCAGUACUU
RNAcentral lists this long non-coding RNA (641 nucleotides) under Drosophila melanogaster (fruit fly). RNAcentral describes it as "long non-coding RNA:CR43608 (Dmel_CR43608)". The record is from RNAcentral. Lineage: Eukaryota; Metazoa; Arthropoda; Insecta; Diptera; Drosophilidae.